CAUGUUUUUAUAUUAUUAAAUCAUUGUAAACUUAGCACUAUAAUAAAAACGGUCUAUAGCGACACUUUUAAAUAUAGCUACAUGUCAAAAAAAUGCUGCUAGCUAAAAUUACCGAUACUUUUAAAAAGUGUUGCUAUAUGUGGGGUCGUUAGGUAUAUAGUGACAGUUAAAAAGUGUCGCUAUAACCUAAAAGAGUGCUGCUAAUUUACCAACACUUAUUUAAGCAUUUAGUAACCGCCGAAACUCUAUCUCGUUGGCUGCGGUGGCGGAGGAGGACGACAGGAAAGACUCUUUGUCUAGAAUUUCAGUGAAUUGAGUGAAGAGAGAAGAAAAGAUGGUAAUUGAUUUUUCUUUUUUUUUUUCUUUUCUGUUUGUAAUCGGGCCAAAUGGACUGGGUGUGGUGGGUUGAGUAGAAUAAUCUUUUAUUUUUGGUUGGAUUGGGCUUUAUAUUUAGGUAUUAGUAGAUAUUUUUUUAAGUUUUAACAUAAAUGGGACACUUACUCAAAAGUGUCCCAAAAAUGUGUCCCUAUAACCUAAUUCUGUUGUAGUGUAGGACUGAUAAGCUAGCUAGGAUCAGUUGAUUUUUGAUC
Molecule: long non-coding RNA, 590 nt
Filed under: Ananas comosus (pineapple)
Lineage: Eukaryota; Viridiplantae; Streptophyta; Magnoliopsida; Poales; Bromeliaceae
Description: long non-coding RNA (ACOM_LNC016137)
Source: RNAcentral